UGUAUUUUUUAAAUAUAUUCAACAGAUCGAUCUGGGUAAAGAAUCAACAGAAAAGCUAAUGGCCUCUUCAUCCUGUCCUGCGAUUACAUUUGGUCCAUUUGCUUCAGCACCAAUGUUAUGAGUCCAGUUGCGGAGGUAGCCUAAAAAUUCACAGAUAAGUUUUGCUACAAUUGCAUCCUUCAAUGGGUGAAAUUUGUUCUGAGUACGCAUUCCCCUCAAUAAUCCUUGGUAAAGUGUCCCCUUUGUAAGGUUUGUCAUACUUCACUUUCUUGCAUUUUUGCACCAGUUAGUUGAUGAUAGUGAAAGUCGUUAUGAACUUGUGAUUAAUGUUGUUGUGUUCUGUUUCUUUUUGAAUGAUGGUUUCUUAAGUUAUUUCAGAUUGGAAUGUUCUUGGUGAAUUAAUUUUGUGAUGAUGGUUAUCACGCAGAGAAAAAGUUCAUCUGUUAUAUGCGAGUAUGAUGGAAGUUCUUUUCAACAUGUUAUUAAUCAGAACUUGGAGACUAGGUAAGUUAAGUUUAUAUAUACUAUAUAACAUGGCACUAGAAGCUCCCCAUCGAAGCUCUCGGGUUUACCUGAUGCUACAUGUUCUUUGAACAUAAAAAGAAACGGUACAUGCUCACACCCAGUCACUACAGCGUAAUCGAUCCUGUCUUUUUCUUUGAACUUGAUGGUGCCAUCUUGAGAUACUUCCAACGGGCCCUCAAUUUCGUCAACAGUGUAGGUUCAAGGAGUCAUCAAAUGGUUUUUAUUUUAUGGAUCAUAUUUAUCAAGUUAACUUAUUCAAGUCUAAAUGCCAGGGAACUAAUGGGUUAGGUGAUUAUAAUUAACUUGCUUUUCUUUUUUUAGUACGAACGCAUGAAAUAAUAAGAAAAUGAUAUAUGUCUAAUUAAGUUGAAGUGAUUAGAUGUAAUUGGUUUUGAGUGGUUGACAGCCUUGAAUGGUAUAUUGGUAGGUUUUACAUGUACAUGAAGUUGGUUGAGUUGUUUAUUGUAUGCAGUAAGGAUCAUGUAUUAUAAAGAUAAUGGCAGGUCAAGAGGUUUCAGGUUUGUAAAUUUCUCAAGCGAAGAUAAAGCACGUUCAGCAAAAGAUGCCAUGAAUGGGAAGGAAGACCAUUAAAGGUCAGCUUUGCACCGGACAAAAUCGGCCACUCUAACAGGGGAACUACUUUCAGUCGUAGCCGCUGACACAAUAUGUUUUGUCAU
This 1202-nucleotide long non-coding RNA is filed under the name Helianthus annuus (common sunflower). Its description in RNAcentral is "hypothetical non coding rna". Lineage: Eukaryota; Viridiplantae; Streptophyta; Magnoliopsida; Asterales; Asteraceae. The record is from RNAcentral.